RNAcentral lists this small RNA (52 nucleotides) under Oxynema acuminatum PCC 6304. Its description in RNAcentral is "Oscillatoria acuminata PCC 6304 Nitrogen stress-induced RNA 1". It matches the Rfam family "Nitrogen stress-induced RNA 1". The record is from Rfam by way of RNAcentral. Lineage: Bacteria; Bacillati; Cyanobacteriota; Cyanophyceae; Oscillatoriales; Oscillatoriaceae.
UGGAUGCACCCUGAUUGAGAGUCCCCCUGGCUAGAAGCUAGGGGAUUUUUUU